RNAcentral lists this ribosomal RNA (116 nucleotides) under Escherichia coli. RNAcentral also lists the same sequence under 9 other names. The record is from RNAcentral. Lineage: Bacteria; Pseudomonadati; Pseudomonadota; Gammaproteobacteria; Enterobacterales; Enterobacteriaceae.
CCUGGCGGCCUUAGCGCGGUGGUCCCACCUGACCCCAUGCCGAACUCAGAAGUGAAACGCCGUAGCGCCGAUGGUAGUGUGGGGUCUCCCCAUGUGAGAGUAGGGAACUGCCAGGC